This 466-nucleotide ribosomal RNA is filed under the name uncultured bacterium. Its description in RNAcentral is "partial 16S ribosomal RNA". It matches the Rfam family "Bacterial small subunit ribosomal RNA", at positions 28 to 506 of the family's 1533-position model. The record is from RNAcentral.
GACGAACGCUGGCGGCGUGCUUAACACAUGCAAGUCGAACGGAAAGGCCUCUUUCGGGGGGUACUCGAGUGGCGAACGGGUGAGUAACACGUGAGUAACCUGCCCUUGACUUUGGGAUAACUUCAGGAAACUGGGGCUAAUACCGGAUAGGAGCUCCUGCUGCAUGGUGGGGGUUGGAAAGUUUCGGCGGUUGGGGAUGGACUCGCGGCUUAUCAGCUUGGUGGUGGGGUAGUGGCUUACCAAGGCUGUGACGGGUAGCCGGCCUGAGAGGGUGACCGGCGACAUUGGGACGGAGAUACGGCCCAGACUCCUACGGGAGGCAGCAGUGGGGAAUAUUGCACAAUGGGUGGAAGCCUGAUGCAGCAACGCCGUGUGCGGGAUGACGGCCUUCGGGUUGUAAACCGCUUUCGCUCAUGACGAAGCUUUGUGUGACGGUAGUGGGUAAAGAAGCACCGGCUAACUACGU